UUGGUUAAGUUAGAAAGGGCGCACGGUGGAUGCCUUGGCACUAGGAGCCGAAGAAGGACGGGACUAACACCGAUAUGCUUUGGGGAGCUGUACGUAAGCGUUGAUCCAGAGAUUUCCGAAUGGGGGAACCCACUAUCUUUAGUCGGAUAGUAUCCUUACGUGAAUACAUAGCGUGAGGAAGGCAGACCCAGGGAACUGAAACAUCUAAGUACCUGGAGGAAGAGAAAGAAAAAUCGAUUUCCUGAGUAGCGGCGAGCGAAACGGAAAGAGCCCAAACCAAGAAGCUUGCUUCUUGGGGUUGUAGGACACUCUAUACGGAGUUACAAAAGAAAGUUAUAAAUGAAGCGGUCUGGAAAGGCCCGCCAAAGACGGUAACAGCCCGGUAGUUGAAAUNGGGAGGACCAUCUCCCAAGGCUAAAUACUCCCUAGUGACCGAUAGUGAACCAGUACCGUGAGGGAAAGGUGAAAAGCACCCCGGAAGGGGAGUGAAACAGUUCCUGAAACCGUGUGCCUACAAGUAGUUAGAGCCCGUUAAUGGGUGAUAGCGUGCCUUUUGUAGAAUGAACCGGCGAGUUACGAUUUGUUGCAAGGUUAAGCGGAAAAAGCGGAGCCGUAGCGAAAGCGAGUCUGAAUAGGGCGCAUAAGUAACAGGUCGUAGACCCGAAACCAGGUGAUCUACCCAUGUCCAGGAUGAAGGUAAGGUAAUACUUACUGGAGGUCCGAACCCACGCACGUUGAAAAGUGCGGGGAUGAGGUGUGGGUAGCGGAGAAAUUCCAAUCGAACUUGGAGAUAGCUGGUUCUCUCCGAAAUAGCUUUAGGGCUAGCCUCGAGGUAAAGAGUCAUGGAGGUAGAGCACUGUUUGGACUAGGGGCCCUUCUCGGGUUACCGAAUUCAGAUAAACUCCGAAUGCCAUGUACUUAUACUCGGGAGUCAGACUGCGAGUGAUAAGAUCCGUAGUCGAAAGGGAAACAGCCCAGACCACCAGUUAAGGUCCCCAAAUAUAUGUUAAGUGGAAAAGGAUGUGGGGUUGCUUAGACAACCAGGAUGUUGGCUUAGAAGCAGCCACCAUUGAAAGAGUGCGUAAUAGCUCACUGGUCGAGUGACCCCGCGCCGAAAAUGUACCGGGGCUAAACAUAUUACCGAAACUGUGGAUGAACCUCUUUAGAGGUUCGUGGUAGGAGAGCGUUCUAAGGGCGGUGAAGUCAGACCGGAAGGACUGGUGGAGCGCUUAGAAGUGAGAAUGCCGGUAUGAGUAGCGAAAGAAGGGUGAGAAUCCCUUCCACCGAAUAUCUAAGGUUUCCUGAGGAAGGCUCGUCCGCUCAGGGUUAGUCGGGACCUAAGCUGAGGCCGAUAGGCGUAGGCGAUGGACAACAGGUAGAGAUUCCUGUACCAGUGCUAAUUGUUUAACCGAUGGGGUGACACAGAAGGAUAGGGAAUCGCACGAAUGGAAAUGUGCGUCCAAGCAGUGAGUGUGAGAAGUAGGCAAAUCCGCUUCUCGCGAAGCAUGAGCUGUGAUGGGGAAGGAAAUUAAGUACGGAAGUUCCUGAUUUCACGCUGUCAAGAAAAGCCUCUAGGAAGAGUAGUACUGCCCGUACCGCAAACCGACACAGGUAGAUGAGGAGAGAAUCCUAAGGUGAGCGAGAGAACUCUCGUUAAGGAACUCGGCAAAAUGACCCCGUAACUUCGGGAGAAGGGGUGCUCUAUUAGGGUGCAAGCCCGAGAGAGCCGCAGUGAAUAGGCCCAGGCGACUGUUUAGCAAAAACACAGGUCUCUGCAAAACCGUAAGGUGACGUAUAGGGGCUGACGCCUGCCCGGUGCUGGAAGGUUAAGAGGAGUGCUUAGCUUCGGCGAAGGUACGAAUUGAAGCCCCAGUAAACGGCGGCCGUAACUAUAACGGUCCUAAGGUAGCGAAAUUCCUUGUCGGGUAAGUUCCGACCCGCACGAAAGGCGCAACGAUCUGGGCACUGUCUCAACGAGAGACUCGGUGAAAUUAUAGUACCUGUGAAGAUGCAGGUUACCCGCGACAGGACGGAAAGACCCCGUGGAGCUUUACUGCAACCUGAUAUGGAAUGUUUGUACCGCUUGUACAGGAUAGGUAGGAGCCGAAGAGACGUGUGCGCUAGCAUACGAGGAGGCAAUGGUGGGAUACUCCCCUGGCUGUAUGACCAUUCUAACCCGCCACGCUUAGCGCGUGGGGAGACAGUGUCAGGUGGGCAGUUUGACUGGGGCGGUCGCCUCCUAAAGAGUAACGGAGGCGCCCAAAGGNUCCCUCAGAAUGGAUGGAAAUCAUUCGCAGAGUGUAAAGGCACAAGGGAGCUUGACUGCGAGACUGACAAGUCGAGCAGGGACGAAAGUCGGGCUUAGUGAUCCGGUGGUUCCGCAUGGAAGGGCCAUCGCUCAACGGAUAAAAGCUACCCCGGGGAUAACAGGCUUAUCUCCCCCAAGAGUCCACAUCGACGGGGAGGUUUGGCACCUCGAUGUCGGCUCGUCGCAUCCUGGGGCUGUAGUCGGUCCCAAGGGUUGGGCUGUUCGCCCAUUAAAGCGGCACGCGAGCUGGGUUCAGAACGUCGUGAGACAGUUCGGUCCCUAUCCGUCGCGGGCGCAGGAAAUUUGAGAGGAGCUGUCCUUAGUACGAGAGGACCGGGAUGGACACACCGCUGGUGUACCAGUUGUUCCGCCAGGAGCAUCGCUGGGUAGCUAUGUGUGGCAGGGAUAAACGCUGAAAGCAUCUAAGCGUGAAGCCCCCCUCAAGAUGAGAUUUCCCAUUUCUUCGGAAAGUAAGAUCCCUGAAAGAUGAUCAGGUAGAUAGGUUUGGAGUGGAAGUGUAGCGAUACAUGGAGCGGACAAAUACUAAUCGAUCGAGGACUUAACCAAAA
RNAcentral lists this ribosomal RNA (2877 nucleotides) under Listeria monocytogenes. RNAcentral describes it as "bacterial LSU rRNA". It matches the Rfam family "Bacterial large subunit ribosomal RNA". The record is from RNAcentral. Lineage: Bacteria; Bacillati; Bacillota; Bacilli; Caryophanales; Listeriaceae.